This 985-nucleotide long non-coding RNA is filed under the name Dasypus novemcinctus (nine-banded armadillo). Its description in RNAcentral is "lncRNA (ENSDNOG00000050762.1)". Lineage: Eukaryota; Metazoa; Chordata; Mammalia; Cingulata; Dasypodidae. The record is from RNAcentral.
GGAGCAUAGUGGAGUUUUGGAUGUCAAGGGUUUGGGAAUCACCAAAAUCCCUGUCUCCUCUCCAACCCCUAAAAAUGCCAACAAGAUGGAAAGUUUCAAAAUUUACUCCUUAACCAAGGCAUGGAAAACGAAAAAGUACAAAAGAAACAAAUUGGCCUUGGCAGCAGGAAGAGUGGAGGCUAGACUAGCAGAAGUAAACCUGAGAAGGAAUAGGACUAGUCUUAUAUUCGGUGAACCUUCUGCCCAGUCCAGAACCUGGGAGAUGUCGGGAGCCUCUGCAGAUCCCAGAAGUGAGCGCGGCAACAGCAGACUCAGCCAGACCGGGACACAGGGCGACAGUCUCGAAAGUGUGGCAGGGAGCAGUGUGAAGAGGCGAGGACGACCCCGGGACGACCCAAGCCUGUGCCGCCGCUGCAGCCCCGCAGCCUGCGCCCACCACCCGCCGCCACGCCCGAGAGAGGGGCUGAAGGGGACGUUCAAGGAGAUAAAGCCACCGUAAAGGAAGAACCGCAGACGAGAGCUGCAAGGUGAUCUGCUAAACCUGCUCCUCCAAAGCCAGAACCCAGGCCUAAAACGGCCCCUGCAGAGAAAGGAGGGAGGUUACUCAAAGGGGAAAAAGGGACAGCUGAUGCUGGCAAGGAUGGGAAUAACCCUGCGGAAGACGGAGAUGCCCAAACAGACGGGGCACAGAGCGCUGAAGUGCCGGAGACGCCACGUGAAGUGUGUGCCUUUUUGAUAACCGUGUCCUUCUGGUGACUGUACAGUCUGAAAUACUAUUUUUUAUCAAGUUUUAUAAAAGUGCAGAAUUUGGUUUUACUUUUUUUUUAAACUGUGUUGUUAGCACACAGAACACUUCAUUACUUUGGGGGAAAGGGGCAGAUGUCACUAACAGAAUAUCUCUGAAUAUUCUGGAUUAAAAUGGGAGAAAACACCUUUCCCCUCUAGUGUUUGAGAGAGUGCCUCUUCACUCCCAGGAGAAGGGAAC